GACGAACGCUGGCGGCGUGCCUAAUACAUGCAAGUAGAACGCUGAAGGAGGAGCUUGCUCUUCUGGAUGAGUUGCGAACGGGUGAGUAACGCGUAGGUAACCUGCCUGGUAGCGGGGGAUAACUAUUGGAAACGAUAGCUAAUACCGCAUAAGAGUAGAUGUUGCAUGACAUUUACUUAAAAGGUGCAAUUGCAUCACUACCAGAUGGACCUGCGUUGUAUUAGCUAGUUGGUGGGGUAACGGCCUACCAAGGCGACGAUACAUAGCCGACCUGAGAGGGUGAUCGGCCACACUGGGACUGAGACACGGCCCAGACUCCUACGGGAGGCAGCAGUAGGGAAUCUUCGGCAAUGGACGGAAGUCUGACCGAGCAACGCCGCGUGAGUGAAGAAGGUUUUCGGAUCGUAAAGCUCUGUUGUAAGAGAAGAACGAGUGUGAGAGUGGAAAGUUCACACUGUGACGGUAUCUUACCAGAAAGGGACGGCUAACUACGUG
Molecule: ribosomal RNA, 495 nt
Filed under: uncultured bacterium
Lineage: Bacteria
Description: partial 16S ribosomal RNA
Rfam family: Bacterial small subunit ribosomal RNA
Source: RNAcentral